AGUGAACGCUGGCGGUAGGCCUAACACAUGCAAGUCGAACGGCAGCACAGUAAGAGCUUGCUCUUACGGGUGGCGAGUGGCGGACGGGUGAGGAAUACAUCGGAAUCUACUUUUUCGUGGGGGAUAACGUAGGGAAACUUACGCUAAUACCGCAUACGACCUACGGGUGAAAGCAGGGGAUCUUCGGACCUUGCGCGAUUGAAUGAGCCGAUGUCGGAUUAGCUAGUUGGCGGGGUAAAGGCCCACCAAGGCGACGAUCCGUAGCUGGUCUGAGAGGAUGAUCAGCCACACUGGAACUGAGACACGGUCCAGACUCCUACGGGAGGCAGCAGUGGGGAAUAUUGGACAAUGGGCGCAGGCCUGAUCCAGCCAUACCGCGUGGGUGAAGAAGGCCUUCGGGUUGUAAAGCCCUUUUGUUGGGAAAGAAAAGCGGCAGGUUAAUACCCCGCUGUUCUGACGGUACCCAAAGAAUAAGCACCGGCUAACUUCGUG
RNAcentral lists this ribosomal RNA (492 nucleotides) under uncultured bacterium. Its description in RNAcentral is "partial 16S ribosomal RNA". It matches the Rfam family "Bacterial small subunit ribosomal RNA", at positions 29 to 507 of the family's 1533-position model. The record is from RNAcentral.